AUGCUAGCUUCGGCAGCACAUAUACUAAAUUUGGAAUGAUACAGAGAAGAUUAACAUGGCCCCUGUGCAAGGAUGACACGCAAAUUCUUGAAGUGUUCCAUAUAAAA
This 107-nucleotide small nuclear RNA is filed under the name Rhinolophus ferrumequinum (greater horseshoe bat). The record is from RNAcentral. Lineage: Eukaryota; Metazoa; Chordata; Mammalia; Chiroptera; Rhinolophidae.